GUGAAAGUUUCCAAGGGCGCAUGGUGGAUGCCUUGGCAACAGGAGCCGAAGAAGGACGUGGGAAUCUGCGAUAAGCCUGGUGGAGUCGAUAACCGGACGUUGAGACCAGGAUUUCCGAAUGGGGAAACCCCGCACGACGUGUCGUGUGACCCCCGGUUGAACACAUAGACCGGGUGGAGGGAACGUGGGGAAGUGAAACAUCUCAGUACCCACAGGAAGAGAAAACAAAAGUGAUUCCGUUAGUAGUGGCGAGCGAACGCGGAUGGGGCUAAACCGUAUGUGUGUGAUACCCGGCAGGGGUUGCAUGUGCGGUGUUGUGGGCCCCUCCUUGUCAUGUCUGCCGGCAUGGCGCAGUGAGGUGCGGGCAUAUAGACGAACCAGUGUGGAUGCUGGACCGUAGAGGGUGAGAGUCCCGUAGUCGAAAUGUGUUCCGCCGCUGUUGGAGGGUUGCCCGAGUAGCACGGGGCCCGAGGAAUCCCGUGUGAAUCUGCCAGGACCACCUGGUAAGCCUGAAUACUACCUGUUGACCGAUAGCGGAUCAGUACCGUGAGGGAAUGGUGAAAAGUACCCCGGGAGGGGAGUGAAAUAGUACCUGAAACCAUGUGCCUACAAACCGUUGGAGCCUCCUUGUGGGGUGACAGCGUGCCUUUUGAAGAAUGAGCCUGCGAGUUAGUGAUACGUGGCGAGGUUAACCCGUGUGGGGAAGCCGUAGCGAAAGCGAGUCUGAAUAGGGCGAUUGAGUCGCGUGUCCUAGACCCGAAGCGGAGUGAUCUACCCAUGGCCAGGUUGAAGCGCGUGUAAGAGCGCGUGGAGGACCGAACCCACUUCAGUUGAAAAUGGAGGGGAUGAGCUGUGGGUAGGGGUGAAAGGCCAAUCAAACUCCGUGAUAGCUGGUUCUCCCCGAAAUGCAUUUAGGUGCAGCGUCACGUGUUUCUUCCCGGAGGUAGAGCUACUGGAUGGACGAUGGGCCCUACAAGGUUACUGACUUCAGCCAAACUCCGAAUGCCGGGAAGUGAGAGCGUGGCAGUGAGACUGUGGGGGAUAAGCUUCAUAGUCGAGAGGGAAACAGCCCAGACCACCGGUUAAGGCCCCUAAGCGUGUGCUAAGUGGGAAAGGAUGUGGAGUUGCUGAGACAACCAGGAGGUUGGCUUAGAAGCAGCCACCCUUGAAAGAGUGCGUAAUAGCUCACUGGUCAAGUGAUUCCGCGCCGACAAUGUAGCGGGGCUCAAGUACACCGCCGAAACCGUGGCAUUCAGUUUU
Molecule: ribosomal RNA, 1260 nt
Filed under: Thiopseudomonas sp. 4R-3cl
Lineage: Bacteria; Pseudomonadati; Pseudomonadota; Gammaproteobacteria; Pseudomonadales; Pseudomonadaceae
Description: Micrococcus sp. 4R-3cl partial 23S ribosomal RNA
Rfam family: Bacterial large subunit ribosomal RNA
Source: RNAcentral